Cervus elaphus (red deer) is the source of this 189-nucleotide long non-coding RNA. RefSeq lists it as uncharacterized. Lineage: Eukaryota; Metazoa; Chordata; Mammalia; Artiodactyla; Cervidae. The transcript has 3 exons. The record is from RefSeq and is a predicted model, not a curated record.
AGGCCCGCUCGGCUUCGCAUUCCAGGAUGUCUGGCUCUAGGUGAGUGAUCACACCAUCGUGGUUAUCUGGGUCGUGAAGAUCUUUUUUGUAUAGUUCUUCUGUGUAUUCUUGCCACCUCUUCUUAAUAUCUUCUCCUUCUGUUAGGUCCAUACCAUUUCUGUCCUUUAUCGAACUCAUCUUUGCAUGAA